UGGGGGGAGGGAAUUUGGGGUGGGAACUCUUUGGGUGGGAACUUGGGGUGGGAACUCUUGGGGCACUGGGAUCUUUCUGAGGUUGGAAAUGAAAUGGCUGUACUCUGAUGUUGUUGGGGUGGGAAUUUGGGGGGUGGGGAACUGCUGGGGCGAGAAAUGGCUGCCGUGGGAGAUGGUUGGCAUCAAAAAUGAUUGGACUCCGUAACUGCUGGCAUUGAAGAUGGGGGGAGGGGGAGGGAAUUCUGUGGGGUGGCAAUUCUGGGGGAGAAAUUGUACUCUGAUCACGUUACACUCCCAAGUUGUUGGAAUUUGGAGGAAGGAAUUGUUGGGGUGGGAAUGUGGGGGGCUGGGAGGUAUUUUGCAGAGGGAGG
Molecule: long non-coding RNA, 371 nt
Organism: Gallus gallus (chicken)
Lineage: Eukaryota; Metazoa; Chordata; Aves; Galliformes; Phasianidae
Source: Ensembl